GAUGAACGCUGGCGGCGUGCCUAAUAAAUGCAAGUCGAGCGAACGGACGAGAAGCUUGCUUCUCUGAUGUUAGCGGCGGACGGGUGAGUAACACGUGGAUAACCUACCUAUAAGACUGGGAUAACUUCGGGAAACCGGAGCUAAUACCGGAUAAUAUUUUGAACCGCAUGGUUCAAAAGUGAAAGACGGUCUUGCUGUCACUUAUAGAUGGAUCCGCGCUGCAUUAGCUAGUUGGUAAGGUAACGGCUUACCAAGGCAACGAUGCAUAGCCGACCUGAGAGGGUGAUCGGCCACACUGGAACUGAGACACGGUCCAGACUCCUACGGGAGGCAGCAGUAGGGAAUCUUCCGCAAUGGGCGAAAGCCUGACGGAGCAACGCCGCGUGAGUGAUGAAGGUCUUCGGAUCGUAAAACUCUGUUAUUAGGGAAGAACAUAUGUGUAAGUAACUGUGCACAUCUUGACGGUACCUAAUCAGAAAGCCACGGCUAACUACGUG
This 497-nucleotide ribosomal RNA is filed under the name uncultured bacterium. RNAcentral's name for it is "partial 16S ribosomal RNA". It matches the Rfam family "Bacterial small subunit ribosomal RNA", at positions 28 to 507 of the family's 1533-position model. The record is from RNAcentral.